Homo sapiens (human) is the source of this 649-nucleotide long non-coding RNA. The record is from Ensembl. NCBI's taxonomy places the organism in Eukaryota, Metazoa, Chordata, Mammalia, Primates, Hominidae.
GGCCAGCACCCAAUAAGCAAAUAAUGGGAAAUUGAUUAUUGAUUAUUUCCUCAUUCCCAAGUGAAAAGGAGAAAGGUAUCUCUAUUGGAGAUGAACGCAUGUUCAAUACACGUGGCCUGCCUGAGUCAUUAGCAAAGUGUCCAACAACUCUGAGGUACUGAAAAAUGAAAUGACUAGUUAAUGUAGAUUGAGAGUCCACAUGCCAGUCACAUCUCGUCUCACUUAAAUCUCCCACCAAACUUCUAAAAAAGAUGCAGCCGAGAUCAUGAAACUCAGGAGGACACCAAGUCACACAGCACUCAGUUGUGAUUUGAACCCCCGGGGAUCCCUGACUCCUGAGCCAUCACCCUUGUUCACAUUGAGACUGCCUGUAUCCCUGCCUUUCCACAAAGAAUAUUCAUAACUUGUAGGGCUUAAAAUGCGCGCCCAUGACUUGGAUAUGAAAAAGAAUAACUAUUUUCUAUGACUGGCUUCAUCUGGCUGUGUAACCCCUAUUCCUGUUGUGCCACCCUUGGGUAAAUACCUUGGAGUAGAAUAGCUGGCUCCUCUUGUGGUUGGGUGUUUAGCUGUUUAAGAAACUCUUGAGCUGUUUCCCAAUGUGAUUGUACCUUUUCACAUUCCUACCAGCAGCAUAGGAAAGUUCUGAUCC